RNAcentral lists this ribosomal RNA (253 nucleotides) under uncultured bacterium. RNAcentral's name for it is "partial 16S ribosomal RNA". It matches the Rfam family "Bacterial small subunit ribosomal RNA", at positions 524 to 776 of the family's 1533-position model. The record is from RNAcentral.
UACGGAGGAUGCAGGCGUUAUCCGGAUUUAUUAGGUUUAAAGGGUGCGUAGACGGGUUUGUAAGUCAGUGGUGAAAUCCUACGGCUUAACUGUAGAACAGCCAUUGAUACUAUAGACCUUGAAUGCAGUUGAGGUAGGCGGAAUGUGUCGUGUAGCGGUGAAAUGCUUAGAUAUGACACAGAACACCGAUUGCGAAGGCAGCUUGCUAAACUGUGAUUGACGUUGAGGCACGAAAGCGUGGGGAUCAAACAGG